Long non-coding RNA from Diachasmimorpha longicaudata, 1881 nucleotides. RefSeq lists it as uncharacterized. The transcript is spliced from 5 exons. Lineage: Eukaryota; Metazoa; Arthropoda; Insecta; Hymenoptera; Braconidae. The record is from RefSeq and is a predicted model, not a curated record.
UCAAAACCUGUGGGUCAAUCAAAAAUAAAAUGAUGAGAUUGGAAUUCAUUUCCAGAAGUGUGAAACAAUUAUAAACGGAGGACAUGUGUCAUUGCGGUGCCUCUUAUUUCCAAUACUGUGCGUCAUCAAGAACUUGACUAGUCGGACAUUUUCGUGAUUUCUUCAUGACUGGAAAGAACUUUUCCGAUACAUUGUGAUGAGAAAUGUUGUUCGUAACUCGUGAAAAAAGUGGGUUUUGACUCGUGGGCUUUUACGUCGCUCUUGGCUCGCACUAUAAAACUCCUACUCACCAAAGACUACUGAAGGAUUCUAGAGCUAAUUAGACAGCGCUACCUGCACUCCAGUUACACUCAUCAGGAUCAUGUUGAGACCGAUAACUCCAAAAAAAUUCCAGAGGCAUGUUCGGCGUACAUGAAUAGAAGCACAUCGCAGGAACCCACCACAGUCAUUACCAGAAAUGUGCAAAAGGUGGAUGCGAUGAACAACGGAUAAUAGUACGUGUCGAGGUCGAGGGAGCCGAAGUACAUUGGGGUUGGAAAGCGUUUUGCCACCGUGAUAUUGGGGUAGAGCACGACAGGAAUUCCACCGUUCGACGAUAUUUUUGCAGAGUUUUCGUGGCAUUCGAUUGAUUAUUUUUCCCAUUCUGAUUUCAACUAAUUAGAGUCGAGUAUUUGAGGGCACAUGAUACUUUCAGAGGUCCAAGAGCGUCAACCACAACUUCAGAAUCAUCUCGAUUUAUAACAACUGCCAGCACCUGAAAAUAGAAAUUGAGAAACGUAACAACGGGGCACGCCCGGCGGCCUGGCCCAGUGAGUAAGGCCCCUGCCUCACACUCAAUGCGGUAGUAUGAAAACAAUCGUGCCAGGUUAUGGUUUUCGGAAACCUCGCAUGACCUAUUAAUCUACUCUACGUACAGCCCUUGCCUCACACCGGAUAGGUUUUACACGGAGACAAAAAUCCGGCAAUUUUUAUAGCGUGAUGCCAAUAAAAAUUACUGUACUGCAUUACACUCCCGAUGUAAACCGCAGACGCGAGAGAAAUUACUAUGCUGCAUAGUAAAAUUACUUUAUCGGCUCAGAAAAAUUUCGAUAUCGGUAUUCGAUUUCGCAAAAAUUUAAAAUCUGAUGAAACAUUGACUGUGACGAGGUCCAACGUCGGCAAUAAUCGGCUACAUUCGGCCUUCAUCAUUGAAGCAUAAUGAGUUACUGAAAUAUUUCUAUGUGGCGCAGUAGAAAAUGCGGAAAGGACAAAUAAAAUAAACUGACCUAGACAGGAAUUUUUCAAAGAUUUCCAUCAUUUUUUCAUUUAGCCUAACAUAAAAAAUGGCAGACCUUAAAAUUUUAUAGUGCUGUUUAGUGAAUUUUACCAAGUCACAUGUCAUUAAUAACAAAAGUUAACACAAAAUUUACGGAGGUGACAGGAAUUUUUAUGUGUGAGCAAAAGAGAUUACAGUAUUGUAGCAUGUUGCAUCUCGAUUCUAGUGUUUGGCACAGUAAUUUUUCCCAGGUUUUUCCCUCCGUGUAAGUUCAAUUCAAUUAACGGAUCGAAAAAAUUUGAAAAAAUUGACGUUUCUAUUUAAAAUAUCUGAAAAAUUCUUGUGAUUUGAGAACAGCAUAAUUUUCAAAAUUACUCUAGAAGAAAAAUGAUUUCCGAGUGGGGCAUUGUUGUUUUCCCCACACGGAGAAAAAUAAUCAGUACAAAUUACGGAACGUGCACGAAAAACUCUGACACACUUCUAUUUUAUAAUCUGUAAUCUAUAUUCUGUAAUUAAACUUCGUUCUUGGAUUACGGAAAAAAACGUAAAUUUUAUUAAAUAUUUCUCUCCGUGUGAAAUUUUAAUAUUUCCAAACGCUUGUCCCUAUAUUUAUUCACAUUACCCUG